UUUUUUUUUUUUUUUUUUUUAGAAGCCUAGCUGUAUCCCAGUGCAGAAUGGUAGGGAAAUUGCUGGGUUAGAAGAUUGGGAAAUUAGGAGUUGUAUUUUCCAUAUGGAUAUCUUAUUUUUUGCAUCUGUCAAAUGUGAUUCUUUUAGCCACCUGUGUAUCCCACAGGAAUAAUGGCUAGGUGCCGGUCUAAAUGUUGAAAGACGUUUUGACAUCUCUGACAAGUGUUGUUCAACAGCUGGGUUUGUAAGAUUCCAGUUCUGACAAAGGAAAAUAACUGGGCUUAUUACUCCAAAAAUAAAUUCCAUAUAGAUGUUGUCAUUUGUGGGAUUACUGCCUUACAAAGCAGACUUUAAAAUGUUUUGUGUUGUAGUGUGUUUUGUGCAUUUACACCUAAUCUUGGAGAGUUAGUUUCAUUUGAACCGAUGAUUGAAUAUGACUUUACAGGGGAAUGUUUUCUUAUAUUGCAGGAGACUCUGUUCUUAUUUGUGAUUCUGUGACAGAGUAAGAAUGAUGGUCCCAGCUUCACAGACCUGCACAGCUGUGCGGGGUGUGCUCUGUGGCAACACAAACAACCCAUUGGUUCAUGGAAUUCAUUUAAGGCUCUCACACUUAUCAAGUAGCUGGAGCACAGUGGUGCCACAUACAGAGUAUUACCUCAGAGAGAUGCAGCUUCUGUUGAAAGAGGCAGAAGAGGAGUUCCACAGGGCUUCCACAAUUUCUAGUGGGGGAAGGACCGCAGUGUGAUAUUAAAGGGUAGCCGGGAUUAGCUUUCUCACCCAACUGCCGACUACCAAGGAGAAAAGAGCAGAGGUUGAAUCUUUGGCUUGUUUCUCUUCUUACUCUGUGAGGAUCCCUAUCCCCUCUACUGAAUUUUUUUAAUGAGAAGGAAAAAUAGAGACUUGUAUCCAAUUAGUUUUAAUAUAUAUAUUAGUGCUUCUUCUGAACAGGAAAAUUUGUAUAUAGUAAUCAUAUACUGCCAGAUUAAAACAAUUUUAAUUUUAAAGAAGUGCUAAUCUUACAGUAUAAACUAAAGAUAAAGUAACCAAAAUUUGUGCAUAUGUAAUUUAUUUUUUACAAAAAUAAAACAAAAUUAUGUUUGUUCUCAUAGAACAAGGAAUUAAUUUGCAGUCCCAGCAUGAAGAUUCUGUAGCAACAGUAGAGACAUCUGCUCUCUCCAUGGUGUAAAGAGAUUCUGAAAGAUGGCUGGGAGCCCCAGAUCCUGAAUCCUGAAAUUUUGUCCUGCUAUAGGCCACUCCCUGCGAGGCUGUUGGGGAUAAAUGUGCUCGGGAGGCAAGGACUGUGGACACAGAUGCUGGAGAGGAGAGCUGAAGCCUCCAGCCUUGGUGAACUGCCCUGUCCUUCCCAUGAGGCACAGGAAGGGGUGAUAGAUCCUACUCAGCCCCUCCUGAAGGGGUGAUAGAUCCUACUCAGCCCCUCCUGUACCAUUGGAUCUCGGCCUUUGCCUUUACAGGAAGUAAAGCUGUGGCUAUAGUAAUAUCCUCAGACAUGAUCUGUUCCUCAUCAGCACACCCCUCUUAAAGGAGCUUCCUGCACUAGGAAGAAGGCAGACAGGUGCAUGCUUCCCUUAGCUCUCAAAAGCGGUCCCUGUACUAUUGGAAAGAAAACUUAUUAGAUCACUUCCGAAUUUUUGAUUGUUGGCAUUAGUAAAAUAUUUUCUAAACAUUAUACAUAGGGCAUUAUUAGGGACACCCAACUUAGAAAAUGUUUGUUUUACUUUGAGAGCCCCAAAUCCUAUUUUAGUAUAGUACUGGGCUGUAACUUCUUAUUCUUCCUGGUGUUUCUCUAAAUGCCUAUUCCAUCUUUUCCCUCUUCUCAUUAACCCUGUUACCUAUUUUAUAUCCUUUGUCCGCCAUCUUAUGUCUAUCUGGAUUUCUAAAGUUCUGUGGUUCCCAGCAGCCUGCAGGGCAGUGUGCUUCUUAACCAGUCACAAAGGCCGUCCACAGUCUGACUCCAGCUUACUUUCUGACUUUAUACUCUUUCUAUGAACAAAUUGCUUUUUACUCAGACUGGCUUUGGUCCCAUUGUUGACAGACUUUUGGCCUACUAGCCAGAUCUACAAAUCUCUUUGAGAUUUUAGGAAGGUAACUUUGCACAUAAUAUUUAAUUUAUUUCAGCCUCAGUUUUCUUAUUUAUAGGUUGGGAUUCAUAAUAUUCCCUUUAUAGGAUGCUUGUGAGUGUGGUAUCUGGGGUGCUCUCAUCCGUGUCCUCACUUCUGCCUGCCCAGCAUGAGCUCUGCAUGAAAGCACAUCAUAUGUCCUUGCUGAUGAAGUUACUGAACAUCAGAAUUCUUAGGGCCAAACCUGUGGCAUAUGGAGUUUCCCAGGCUAGUGCUUACAGCUCUUGAUUCAACCCCUAGCCUGGGAACCUCCAUAUGCUGUGAGUGCAGCCUUAAAAAAAAGAAAAAAAA
RNAcentral lists this long non-coding RNA (2429 nucleotides) under Sus scrofa (pig). RNAcentral describes it as "lncRNA (ENSSSCG00035048530.1)". Lineage: Eukaryota; Metazoa; Chordata; Mammalia; Artiodactyla; Suidae. The record is from RNAcentral.